This 853-nucleotide long non-coding RNA is filed under the name Meleagris gallopavo (turkey). Its description in RNAcentral is "lncRNA (ENSMGAG00000022932.1)". The record is from RNAcentral. Lineage: Eukaryota; Metazoa; Chordata; Aves; Galliformes; Phasianidae.
CAGGAAGUUGUUGCAAAGCUUAUUUAGUUAAUGCAUAUUGUGCAAUUCAGGACCCUCGGAUUUGUCUGUGGGUUUCCAAGCUUAAUAUAUUAAUAUUAUGUCAUAUUAAUAUGUGAUUAUUUAUGUUGAUAUACUUUUAUCUGACUAGUGUGGUUCACAUCAGUAGCAAGCGAGCUGCAGGAUUUGUAGCCAGCCUGUCAUUUCUAAGACCAGAUUUGAUUCAUGGUCUCAUUUCCUGUUUUUCCUCCCACUGCUCACAGCUCCUUUUUUCCUUCUCCAUGGUCCAUUUAUUAAAUGUAGAGUUAGAAACACAAUUAGAAUUUACUCAAGUCUGAAUAUGAAUAUCUGAAUAUCUGAAUACGAAAUCUUUGGAACAAUAAAAAUUCUUUUCCAAACCUGUCUUAUCUAGCUUGCCUGUUCAGAUGAUGAGCUUGGCCUUCCCUACUGACUGAAUAAAUGAGAAAGAAGCAUGAUUCCAUCAAUUCCAAGCAAGGACAGUAGGAGAAAUUCUGAAAUUACCAAACACUGCUAUAAGACCUGCAAGUGCAAAAGCACAAUGUUAGGGGGAGAAGUUUCUCCAGCACACGGCUCAAAGCACUUAGCUUCUCAGCACUGCCCUUGGGGAACCAGUCUGUUUCUGCUGCCUGUAGAGAUGGGCAGACAAGUUGGCCAAGGUAAAUACCCACCUCACUGGACUCUUUGGUAUUUAGAUACAUGUAUAAGAACAGUAUUAUACAAAAUAACAUCUAAACAAUACUUCUCUAACUCACUAUCAGUGCAGCAAACAGGAAUGCUGUUCUUCCCCCUCCUCCUCCUCAUUUCAUUUGUACAACUGCCACCCUGGGUAUUGUAA